Long non-coding RNA from Carassius auratus (goldfish), 972 nucleotides. RefSeq lists it as uncharacterized. The record is from RefSeq and is a predicted model, not a curated record. Lineage: Eukaryota; Metazoa; Chordata; Actinopteri; Cypriniformes; Cyprinidae. The transcript is spliced from 3 exons.
GCAGGCAAUCUGAAGAACUAUAAGAGGCAGCUGCGUGGUUUUCUUGUGGCGAGUUUUCUGACUAAUUGCCACAGAGCAAUUGCUGUUCCAGAGGUUGUUACGCUAGCUGCGCCACCCCUUUGUAGCUACAUUCAUGGAACAUAUUCUUAUUUAGGCUUGUUUGCAUGGCUCGUCAAAUAGAUUUGUCAAGAAGAAUAUGCAAAAUACUCUCGCAAUAGCCUCUGGCGCUUUGUUUGUUGUCUGCUGCUGCAGCCGAGAAUGAGGAAGCUGCGUAGGUGAGACAGGAGCACAAUGUCCUCUUUUUAAUCAGGCCCGCAGGUCGUUCUUUUGAUGAUAGCACUGAUGGAGAGGACCUUAAAGAAGACUCUGUGAUACCGAUUAAUAUGGUUGGGUCUCUAGAUUUACACUGAUUUCUUUUUGGACAAGGUUCGAGGAUUUUGAUUCCUCUUAUGAAUUUCGGUUUACUUUUCAGAAUCAAGCAUAUGAGACUUUUCCUGUAUGUUUUUAAACUCUUAUCUCUGUCUAUUUAUUAUUUGUUGGCUUGAAGGGCACCCUGGCAUUAUUAAUGAUGACCCAGAAUUCCCUGCUGUUACAAGCAGUAAACAACCUUGUGACAAAACCAUGAAAUCUUUUGACCCCACUCCCCAGCUCGGUGAUGUACAUACUUCCUGAUGUUUUUUUCUUAUUUUUUAUGAAUGUAUAUAUUUAUUUUAUUUUUUUAAAAUGAAAUCUGGAUGUGUUUGUUGCUUCGAGACCCUGAACCUUAGUCACACAGGCUAACUCUCCGUUCUCUGAACGUACUUUACUGCUACAUCAAACACCAUCUUCUACACUGAGAUACUGUUGUUUUCUUAAAGCGUUUCCUUCACCGGUCCAUGUGUGUUAUUCAAUAUUUAUUGAUGUUCUUAUGAAUUCUAGUUCUGUCAUCGUAUUAUCUUCUUUACCGAACCAGUGGUCAAUUAAAAACCUUGG